UGCAAGUCGAACGGGCACUUCGGUGCUAGUGGCAGACGGGUGAGUAACGCGUGGGAACGUGCCUUUCGGUUCGGAAUAAUCCAGGGAAACUUGGACUAAUACCGGAUACGCCCUUCGGGGGAAAGAUUUAUCGCCGAAAGAUCGGCCCGCGUCUGAUUAGCUAGUUGGUGAGGUAAAGGCUCACCAAGGCGACGAUCAGUAGCUGGUCUGAGAGGAUGAUCAGCCACAUUGGGACUGAGACACGGCCCAAACUCCUACGGGAGGCAGCAGUGGGGAAUAUUGGACAAUGGGCGCAAGCCUGAUCCGGCCAUGCCGCGUGAGUGAUGAAGGCCUUAGGGUUGUAAAGCUCUUUUGUCCGGGAAGAUAAUGACUGUACCGGAAGAAUAAGCCCCGGCUAACUUCGUGCCAGCAGCCGCGGUAAUACGAAGGGGGCUAGCGUUGCUCGGAAUCACUGGGCGUAAAGGGCGCGUAGGCGGACUUUUAAGUCGGAGGUGAAAGCCCAGGGCUCAACCCUGGAAUUGCCUUCGAUACUGGGAGUCUUGAGUUCGGAAGAGGUUGGUGGAACUGCGAGUGUAGAGGUGAAAUUCGUAGAUAUUCGCAAGAACACCGGUGGCGAAGGCGGCCAACUGGUCCGAUACUGACGCUGAGGCGCGAAAGCGUGGGGAGCAAACAGGAUUAGAUACCCUGGUAGUCCACGCC
RNAcentral lists this ribosomal RNA (699 nucleotides) under uncultured bacterium. RNAcentral's name for it is "bacterial SSU rRNA". It matches the Rfam family "Bacterial small subunit ribosomal RNA", at positions 56 to 801 of the family's 1533-position model. The record is from RNAcentral.